UUUUGAUAUAGGUGUUUAUUGCUAAGAACUCCUGUCUUAAGGAUAUUUGUCAGUAAUAUUCACUACUGUAUGCUCAGCACCUAGAAAAAUUUAUGGCAAAUAGGAUACAUUUUUAAAAUUUUGUUUAGUUAAAAUUUUAAUUAGGAUUUUGCCUAUCUUAACAACAUUAUAUUUCAACCAGUAAAUAGCAGUUUCAAGCAAAAACAAAAACAAAACUCCCCUCCUAGAACUGCUUUUGCUGUAUCCCAUAGGUUUUGGUAUGUUGUGUUUCCAUUUUCAUUUUUCUCUAGGAAAUUUUUAAUUUCUUUUUUUAUUUCUUCAUUGACCCAUUCAUUAUUAGAAGUAUGUUAUUUAAUUUUUAUGAAUUUAUAGUUUCCAAUAUUACUUCCAUUAUUGAUUUCCAGUUUACUCCACUGUAGUCAGAAAAAAUACUGGAUGUUAUUUUGUUGUUUUUUGUUUUAUUUUAUUUUAACUUCUGGGAUACAUGUGCAAGAUGUGCAGGUUUGUUACAUAGGUAAACAUGUGCCAUGGUGGUUUACUACACCUAUCCAUCAUCUAAAUAUCAAGACCCACAUGCGUUAGCUAUUUAUCCUGAUGCUCUCCCUUCCCCCACCCCUCCAACAGGCCCCAGUCUGUGUUGUUCCCUUCCUUGUGUCCAUGUGUUCUCAUUGUUCAGCUAAUACUUAUAAGUGAGAACAUGCAGUGUUUGGUUUUCUGUUCUUUUGUUAGUUUGCUGAGGAUAAUGGCUUCCAGCUCCAUCCAAGUCCCUGCAAAGGACAUGAUCUCAUUCUUUUUUAUGGCUGUUCUGUUUUUUUUUUUUUUAAUUUGUUAAGAAUUGUUUUGUGACAUGCCGUGUGGUCUGUCUAUCCUAAAAGAUUUUCUGUGUGCUGUUGAGAAAUAUGUGUACUCAGCAGCUGUUGGAUGGAAUGUUUUGUAAAUGUCUGCUGUUAGGUCCACUUGGUCUAGAGCACAAUUUAACUCUGAUUUUUUUGUUGGUGUUGAUUUUCCCUCUGGACAAUCUGUCCAUUGUUGAAAGAGGAUGUCAAAAUCCCCUACUAUUACUGUGUUGCAGUCAAUCUCUCCUUUUAGGUCUACUAAUAUUUGUUUUAUAUAUUUGUGUGCUCCAGUGUUGGGUGCAUAUAUAUUUAUGAUUGUUAUAUCCUCUUGCUGUGCUGACCCCUUCAUUAUUAUAUAAUGGCCUUCUUUGUCUUUUUUAUCAUUCUUGACUAAAAGCCUAUUUUAUCUGAUGUUAAGUAUAACUCCUGCUGCUCUUUCUUGGUUUCCAUUUGCAUGGAAUAUCUUUUUCCAUUCCUUCACUUUCCACCUGUGUGUGUCUUCAUAGGUGAAGUGAUCUUGUAGACAGCAUGUAGUUGGGUCUUGUUUUUUUUUAAUCUAUUUAGUCACUCUAUGUCUUUUAAUUAGAGAAUUUAAUCAAUUUACAUUCAAAUUUAUUAUUGAGAGGUAAAGGUUUACUAUUGCCAUUUUAUUACAUGUUUUCUGGUUGUUUUAUAGAUUCUUUCUUUCUCUUUUCCUCUUUUGCCAUAUUCCUUUGUGCUUAAGUGAUUUUCAGUAAUACAUUUUGAUUCUACACUAUUUAUUUUGGUAUAUCUAUUAUAGGUAUUUGCUUCGUGGUUACCAUGAGGCUUACAAAAAGCACAUUAUAACAGGUUAUUUUAAACUGAUAAUGACUUACCUUUGAUCACAAAGAAAAGUAACCAAAAAAAAUCUCUGCACUUUAAUACCAUUCUCCCCCACAUUUUGACUUACUGAUGUUUCCGUUUAUAUCAUUUUAUGUUGCCUAUCUCUUAGCCAAUUGUUACAGUUAUUGAUUUUAAUAAUUUUGCCUUUUAUUCUUUAUACUUAAGACAUAGGUGAUUUAGUUACCCCAACUAAAGUAUUAGAGUAUUAUAAAUUUGUCCGUUUCUUUCUUUUGUAAGGUAAUUGCUUUCUUUCAUAGGCCAGGAUGCAUAGAAUAUAUGAAAAUGAGAAGACAACAAUUUUAAGACUACAAAAUUUUACCAUCUUGAAUCUUUUGAAAAAGCUACCAAUCAUCUCCACUUACAAAGCUUGAAAAGCAAAAAUUUUACCUAUAUAAUUUUUAGACAAUCAUAUAAUGGCUUUAUAAGGCCACCAGGCUAUUAAAGGAGAAUGCAGAGUAUUGUAGAUGCUUCAAACCAAUGAAAAGUAUUCAACUUACACCUAAAACAGAUAAAUUAUUUUCCCUUUACCCAUAAUUUAUCUUCUAAUUUUACCAGCAGCAUUCUGUCAGCCCAGUACACUAAAACCACAUUGGUAGGAAAAUGUCAGUCAUGUUUUCUUCUUACAUUCUAUGAGUUAUUAACCAAGAGCACAGCUGGAUGAUUAACAACUUGUCUUAGUGCAAAAUGUUCCAAUUGCACCCUGACUGCCAGAAUUUUUUUUCAUUUUUUAUUUAUAAUUUUCCUGGCAAGCAUAUUGUUAACUUUACCUCUCUGUAGUUAACUACCAAAUGUGAACAAUAAGUUAUUGAACUUAUCAGCUUUCCUAUUCUUCCUAUUCUUCUAAGCAAGUCUAGUUUCUGCUUAGAGGAAAUAUUCACUAGAAAGAUUUUAACAAAUGAAAGAGUAGAACAGAGCAAACAACAUAAAAUAGAGAAGACAGUCCUUUGAAAAAUAUUUUAAGAUACCAAAAUGUCUAAUACUGAUGAGAAUGAAAAGGCAUAUGAUACAAAUAAAAUUAAGUAAAAAGGGGAAGUAAUUAGAUAUGUAAGUUUUUUUAAUUAUAAGCCAGUUUUUGGAUCAGCUAUAUGCUAGUAAAUUUUAAGAUAGAAGAUAUGCAUAAGUUCCUAGACUAUAAAAUUACAAGUUGACACAAACAGAAAUACAGAAUUUAAAUAGAAGAAAACAUACUAAAAAAUGUAAAUAGUAGUCAAAAUAAAUAAAUAUUCAAAAUCUAUAAAAUGACAAUUUUUUUCCUCUUCCUUUCCAAAACUAACACCUUUCAUUAACUUUUUAAAAAAAUUUCUUUCUGCAUUGUGUAGGAACUUCAAUGCUCUCAAAUACAAUUAGUAAUGGUGAAAUCCUUGUCUUCUUGCCCAUCUGGAAAGGAAUGGGUGGUGUGGUAAAGCUGAAAGAGCAAUGAGUUAUGAAGUCUAAGAAAUGCAUUUCAAAUCCAAUUUCUAGUAUCACUUGAUGGCUUGGCAACCUUGAACAAGUUCCUAUUCCCCUCAUCUGCAGAACAACAAUAAAAAUAUCUAUUUCA
RNAcentral lists this long non-coding RNA (3240 nucleotides) under Homo sapiens (human). RNAcentral's name for it is "HSALNT0044808". Lineage: Eukaryota; Metazoa; Chordata; Mammalia; Primates; Hominidae. The record is from RNAcentral.